AGGGGUAUAGCUCAGUUGGUAGAGCGACGGUCUCCAAAACCGUAGGUCGCGGGUUCAAGUCCUGCUGCCCCUGCCA
This 76-nucleotide transfer RNA is filed under the name Paramesorhizobium deserti. RNAcentral describes it as "tRNA-Trp". It matches the Rfam family "tRNA". Rfam says of the family: Transfer RNA (tRNA) molecules are approximately 80 nucleotides in length. Their secondary structure includes four short double-helical elements and three loops (D, anti-codon, and T loops). RNAcentral also lists the same sequence under 6 other names. Lineage: Bacteria; Pseudomonadati; Pseudomonadota; Alphaproteobacteria; Hyphomicrobiales; Phyllobacteriaceae. The record is from RNAcentral.